RNAcentral lists this small nucleolar RNA (119 nucleotides) under Castor canadensis (American beaver). RNAcentral's name for it is "Small nucleolar RNA SNORA40 (ENSCCNG00000002603.1)". It matches the Rfam family "Small nucleolar RNA SNORA40". Rfam says of the family: The snoRNA ACA 40 belongs to the H/ACA family of snoRNAs and guides the pseudouridylation of 28S rRNA subunit at position U4565. NB This family has a high threshold value to exclude a large number of closely related sequences that do not appear to have conserved H and ACA boxes, and may be pseudogenes. The record is from Rfam by way of RNAcentral. Lineage: Eukaryota; Metazoa; Chordata; Mammalia; Rodentia; Castoridae.
UUCAUGUGUAUGUUUUUGUUAUGGACAAAGACUUAUAGAUAGGUGAAAAAAAUUAAUCCUGUUUGCAACCCAGAACUCAUUGUUCAGUAUGAGUUUUGAUACAUAUAAGAAGGAAUAUG